This 221-nucleotide ribosomal RNA is filed under the name Staphylococcus epidermidis. Its description in RNAcentral is "partial 16S ribosomal RNA". It matches the Rfam family "Bacterial small subunit ribosomal RNA", at positions 1 to 215 of the family's 1533-position model. The record is from RNAcentral. Lineage: Bacteria; Bacillati; Bacillota; Bacilli; Caryophanales; Staphylococcaceae.
UUUUAUGGAGAGUUUGAUCCUGGCUCAGGAUGAACGCUGGCGGCGUGCCUAAUACAUGCAAGUCGAGCGAACAGACGAGGAGCUUGCUCCUCUAACGUUAGCGGCGGACGGGUGAGUAACACGUGGAUAACCUACCUAUAAGACUGGGAUAACUUCGGGAAACCGGAGCUAAUACCGGAUAAUAUAUUGAACCGCAUGGUUCAAUAGUGAAAGACGGUUUU